CCUACGGGGGGCUGCAGUCGAGAAUCUUCGGCAAUGGGCGCAAGCUUGACCGAGCGACGCCGCGUGCGGGAUGAAGGCCUUCGGGUUGUAAACCGCUUUGGUCCGAAAGAAAGGGUAAAACUUGAUCGAUCGGAGAAACAAGGACGGGCUAAGUUCGUGCCAGCAGCCGCGGUAAGACGAACCGUCCAAACGUUAUUCGGAAUCACUGGGCUUAAAGGGCGCGUAGGCGGCCGAGCGGGUCGUGGGUGAAAUCCCCCAGCUUAACUGGGGAACUGCUUACGAUACCACUGCGGCUCGAGGAAGGAAGGGGCAAUUGGAACUGUCGGUGGAGCGGUGAAAUGCGUUGAUAUCGACAGGAACGCCUGUGGCGAAAGCGAAUUGCUGGUCCUUUUCUGACGCUGAGGCGCGAAAGCCAGGGGAGCAAACGGGCUUAGAUACCCGUGUAGUC
RNAcentral lists this ribosomal RNA (448 nucleotides) under uncultured Planctomycetaceae bacterium. RNAcentral's name for it is "bacterial SSU rRNA". It matches the Rfam family "Bacterial small subunit ribosomal RNA", at positions 338 to 795 of the family's 1533-position model. The record is from RNAcentral. Lineage: Bacteria; Pseudomonadati; Planctomycetota; Planctomycetia; Planctomycetales; Planctomycetaceae.